RNAcentral lists this non-coding RNA (122 nucleotides) under uncultured Erwinia sp. RNAcentral describes it as "Phenylalanine leader peptide". It matches the Rfam family "Phenylalanine leader peptide". The record is from RNAcentral. Lineage: Bacteria; Pseudomonadati; Pseudomonadota; Gammaproteobacteria; Enterobacterales; Erwiniaceae.
GAAACCGACUCUGUUUUUCUUCGCAUACUUUUUUACCUUCCCCUGAACGGGAGGCGAUUGGUCGUGUAAAAAGCAAUGCGAAGACGAACAAACAAGCCUCCCGAAGCGGGAGGCUUUUUUUU